GAGGGUAUAGCUCAGUGGCAGAGUACAUGCUUUGCGUGCACAAGGUUCUGGGUUCAAGCCCCAGUACUUCCA
RNAcentral lists this transfer RNA (72 nucleotides) under Camelus bactrianus (Bactrian camel). It matches the Rfam family "tRNA". From Rfam's summary of the family: Transfer RNA (tRNA) molecules are approximately 80 nucleotides in length. The record is from Rfam by way of RNAcentral. Lineage: Eukaryota; Metazoa; Chordata; Mammalia; Artiodactyla; Camelidae. RNAcentral also lists the same sequence under 2 other names.